GAUGAACGCUGGCGGCGUGCCUAAUACAUGCAAGUCGAGCGAACAGACGAGGAGCUUGCUCCUCUGACGUUAGCGGCGGACGGGUGAGUAACACGUGGAUAACCUACCUAUAAGACUGGGAUAACUUCGGGAAACCGGAGCUAAUACCGGAUAAUAUAUUGAACCGCAUGGUUCAAUAGUGAAAGACGGUUUUGCUGUCACUUAUAGAUGGAUCCGCGCCGCAUUAGCUAGUUGGUAAGGUAACGGCUUACCAAGGCAACGAUGCGUAGCCGACCUGAGAGGGUGAUGGGCCACAGUGGAACUGAGACACGGGCCAGACUCCUACGGGAGGCAGCAGGAGGGAAUCUUCCGAAAGGGGCGAAAGCCUGAGGGAGAAACGCCGGGUGAGUGAUGAAGGUCUUCGGAUCGUAAAACUCUGUUAUUAGGGAAGAAAAAAUGUGUAAGUAACUAUGCACGUUUUGACGGUACCUAAUCAGAAAGCCACGGCUAACUAAGU
This 496-nucleotide ribosomal RNA is filed under the name uncultured bacterium. Its description in RNAcentral is "partial 16S ribosomal RNA". It matches the Rfam family "Bacterial small subunit ribosomal RNA", at positions 28 to 506 of the family's 1533-position model. The record is from RNAcentral.